Molecule: ribosomal RNA, 414 nt
Filed under: uncultured microorganism
Description: bacterial SSU rRNA
Rfam family: Archaeal small subunit ribosomal RNA
Source: RNAcentral
CAGCCGCCACGGUAAUACCGGCGGCCCGAGUGGCGGUCACUAUUAUUGGGCUUAAAGCGUCCGUAGCCGGGUUGGGAAGUCCUCCGGGAAAUCUGGCCGCUUAACGGUCAGAAUGCCGGAGGAUACUCCCAGCCUAGGGAGCGGGAGAGGCCGAGGGUAUUCCCGGAGUAGGGGUGAAAUCCUAUAAUCCCGGGAGGACCACCUGUGGCGAAGGCGCUCGGCUGGAACGCGUCCGACGGUGAGGGACGAAGGCCAGGGGAGCAAACCGGAUUAGAUACCCGGGUAGUCCUGGCUGUAAACGAUGCGGACUUUGUGUCGGACAAGCUAUGAGCUUGUCCGGUGCCGGAGGGAAACCGUUAAGUCCGCCGCCUGGGGAGUACGGCCGCAAGGCUGAAACUUAAAGGAAUUGGCGGG